Fukomys damarensis (Damara mole-rat) is the source of this 779-nucleotide long non-coding RNA. RefSeq lists it as uncharacterized. The transcript is spliced from 3 exons. NCBI's taxonomy places the organism in Eukaryota, Metazoa, Chordata, Mammalia, Rodentia, Bathyergidae. The record is from RefSeq and is a predicted model, not a curated record.
CCCACGAUCACUGGGAUCAUUGCGCGCUGCAAACGUGGACUGACAAAACUUUUGAAGUUUCUAAAAAUCACGCGUUCAACCCCUCAGCCCCCGCGCCUCCAGAUGCAACUGUACGUGGGAGUCGGUUUUGAAGGAGGUUUCUGACGAAAACAGGGUCUUCAGGGUGGGGCCUCGGCCGACAGAACCGGGGUCCUUACGGGCACGGGUGCUGGCUCCGCAGACGGAAGUCCCCAAGCCGAGAACAAGACCAAGGAGAAACCAGCUGCCGACCGGACCGAACCAGACCUAACCGGACCGAACCGUGUGACCCCCGCAGACAGCAGCAGCUCACGGACGCUCCCCCGGGAGCACGGAUCCCCGGGCCUGGCCUGCUUUCUCAGCCCCAAGACAUUGCGGAAAAAAGCAGAUGGCAGGAAAUCUUAAAAGCUGUUGCAUAAACAGCUGAAGCGAAAGAGAACAUUUACAAUACCCACAGUCCAAACAGCGUGGCUUCUGGCUGAAGACAACCGGAAGCAGAGACCACAUCCGGCAGUGCUACUGUUUUAAGGCGCUGGGAUGCUCCAGGCAAAAGGUCAUUCCUUUCCCCAGAGCAGGCAAGGAAACAUGUGAAAUUUACACACUCCUGUUAAUGUCAUAUCUGCUGAGAAAUUAGAAUGCCCCAACAUUCAAGUUCUGCAGUGAAGUGAUUUAUACUGCUUCCUGUUCCACUUCUCAAUCCUGGUGUACACCUGUAAGCCCAGCAUUUGGGAGGCUGAGGCAGGAGGAUUGCCGUGAGUUCG